This 1010-nucleotide ribosomal RNA is filed under the name Adlercreutzia mucosicola. RNAcentral's name for it is "bacterial SSU rRNA". It matches the Rfam family "Bacterial small subunit ribosomal RNA", at positions 19 to 1053 of the family's 1533-position model. Lineage: Bacteria; Bacillati; Actinomycetota; Coriobacteriia; Eggerthellales; Eggerthellaceae. The record is from RNAcentral.
CUGGCUCAGGAUGAACGCUGGCGGCGUGCCUAACACAUGCAAGUCGAACGGUUAAGCCGGCUUCGGCCGGGAAUACAGUGGCGAACGGGUGAGUAACACGUGACCAACCUGCCCCCCGCUCCGGGACAACCGCUGGAAACGGCGGCUAAUACCGGGUACUCCGCGGGCCCCGCAUGGGGCCGGCGGGAAAGCCCAGGCGGCGGGGGAUGGGGUCGCGGCCCAUUAGGUAGUAGGCGGGGUAGAGGCCCACCUAGCCGACGAUGGGUAGCCGGACUGAGAGGUCGACCGGCCACAUUGGGACUGAGAUACGGCCCAGACUCCUACGGGAGGCAGCAGUGGGGAAUUUUGCGCAAUGGGGGAAACCCUGACGCAGCAACGCCGCGUGCGGGACGAAGGCCCUCGGGCUGUAAACCGCUUUCAGCAGGGAAGACAUCGACGGUACCUGCAGAAGAAGCUCCGGCUAACUACGUGCCAGCAGCCGCGGUAAUACGUAGGGGGCGAGCGUUAUCCGGAUUCAUUGGGCGUAAAGCGCGCGUAGGCGGCCGCCUAAGCGGAACCUCUAACCCCGGGGCUCAACCUCGGGCCGGGUUCCGGACUGGGCGGCUCGAGUGCGGUAGAGGAGAGCGGAAUUCCCGGUGUAGCGGUGGAAUGCGCAGAUAUCGGGAAGAACACCGAUGGCGAAGGCAGCUCUCUGGGCCGUCACUGACGCUGAGGCGCGAAAGCUGGGGGAGCGAACAGGAUUAGAUACCCUGGUAGUCCCAGCCGUAAACGAUGGACGCUAGGUGUGGGGGGAACAUCCCUCCGUGCCGCAGCCAACGCAUUAAGCGUCCCGCCUGGGGAGUACGGCCGCAAGGCUAAAACUCAAAGGAAUUGACGGGGGCCCGCACAAGCAGCGGAGCAUGUGGCUUAAUUCGAAGCAACGCGAAGAACCUUACCAGGGCUUGACAUGCGAGUGAAGCCGGGGAGACCCGGUGGCCGAGAGGAGCUCGCGCAGGUGGUGCAUGGCUGUC